CCGACGGCCCCCCUGAACGCUGUCUGAAGUUGCAGUCUGAGACCUAUAACGAAAUUAGUUAAAACUUUCAACAACGGAUCUCUUGGUUCCGGCAUCGAUGAAGAACGCAGCGAAAUGCGAUAACUAAUGUGAAUUGCAGAAUUCAGUGAAUCAUCGAGUCUUUGAACGCACAUUGCGCCCUCUGGUAUUCCGGAGGGCAUGCCUGUCCGAGCGUCAUUGCUGCCCUCAAGCCCGGCUUGUGUGUUGGGCCCCGUCCCCCCCGCCGGGGGGACGGGCCCGAAAGGCAGCGGCGGCACCGCGUCCGGUCCUCGAGCGUAUGGGGCUUCGUCACCCGCUCUAGUAGGCCCGGCCGGCGCCAGCCGACCCCCAACCUUUAAUUAUCUCAGGUUGACCUCGGAUCAGGUAGGGAUACCCGCUGAACUUAAGCAUA
RNAcentral lists this ribosomal RNA (430 nucleotides) under Penicillium sp. FL-2010i. Its description in RNAcentral is "eukaryotic LSU rRNA". The stretch from base 63 to 216 matches the Rfam family "5.8S ribosomal RNA". Lineage: Eukaryota; Fungi; Ascomycota; Eurotiomycetes; Eurotiales; Aspergillaceae. The record is from RNAcentral.